UACGUAGGUGGCAAGCGUUAUCCGGAAUUAUUGGGCGUAAAGCGCGCGCAGGCGGUUCUUCAAGUCAGAGGUGAAAGCCCAGAGCUCAACUCUGGAAUGGCCUUUGAGACUAGAGAACUAGGGUACGGGAGAGGUGAGUGGAAUUCCGAGUGUAGAGGUGAAAUUCGUAGAUAUUCGGAAGAACACCAGUGGCGAAGGCGGCUCACUGGCCCGUUACCGACGCUCAGGCGCGACAGCGUGGGGAGCAAACAGG
Molecule: ribosomal RNA, 253 nt
Filed under: uncultured bacterium
Lineage: Bacteria
Description: partial 16S ribosomal RNA
Rfam family: Bacterial small subunit ribosomal RNA
Source: RNAcentral